AAAACCCACCCCCCGAUUCCCUACGGCCUGCUCCUUCUUUCUCCACGCCUCUAUACGUUCUGUCCUUCUCCAAAAGACCACCGACGCCAUAUGCUUACCUAUUUCAGCCGAAGGAAAUCUCCAGCGAUUUAGCCACACCACCCCCACUCCAUUUCCCUCCCACGGAAGUUGAACCAGACUCCAUCCUCGGCAGCUUCAGAUUGAUUGUGGGUUUGGUGCUGCACGGCUUGUGGGAGUUGUUGGAGUUCUGAGUUGCCGACCAGUGGCACAUUGUCUUCUGUGUUGCCAUUGGCUUGUGGGCUGGACUUGCUAUUGGGUACACUACAGUAUAUUAUACCAGCAAUGAUUACAG
This is a long non-coding RNA of Carya illinoinensis, 352 nucleotides long. RefSeq lists it as uncharacterized. The transcript is spliced from 3 exons. The record is from RefSeq and is a predicted model, not a curated record. Lineage: Eukaryota; Viridiplantae; Streptophyta; Magnoliopsida; Fagales; Juglandaceae.